RNAcentral lists this long non-coding RNA (650 nucleotides) under Sorghum bicolor (sorghum). RNAcentral describes it as "long non-coding RNA (SBIC_LNC007792)". The record is from RNAcentral. Lineage: Eukaryota; Viridiplantae; Streptophyta; Magnoliopsida; Poales; Poaceae.
GAGCACCCACGGGCUACAAUGUAGCUUCAUCCCUGACUGGGGUAUUUUAGACGGAAUCAAUCACAUGUACAAGGCGUAGCUUUUGUUCUUUAUUUAUAUAAAGUAAAAAGCUGGAUCCGUAUAAUUAUAAGAAAUGAUACAAGUUGGGUUGUGUUGGCCACCCUCCCUUUUAGUUCUGGGGUAGGAUUCGUAUAGUAUCAAAAAAAAAAAGGGAUGAUUUGCAUUGGGAUUGGGAGUGUCAUGGAUCGCUGCUUUUGAAAAAAGUGAAAAGGCCAGCACCAUAUAUAAUCCCUGUUGAUUGGUUGAGUAGCUAGGGAAGCAUCGAUUCCUUGUCCUGUUUCCCGUACUAGCCGAAGCUUGGAAUUAAUUAGCAUGGAUUCCUUGUCCUGUUUUCUUGUUCUAUAGUAAAGCGUUCAAAAUGAGCUGUCGCAAAAAAAAAAAAGAGCUGUAGUUUUUUUAAUCAAUAAUCAGUUUCGUAGUAGCUUCUUCACUUAUUCAGAAACUUGCGUGCUCUGCUCCCUCAUCAAUCAAGAACCGAAAAAGAAAAAGAAAAAGAAACAUGCGUUUGGCCGGUUUGUCAGUUACUGGUUAAUUUAAUUAAUAGUGGUACGAGAUCUGAGACUCAGAGUUGCUCUCCAGUUCAUCCGGAC